GAUGAAGAACGUAGCGAAAUGCGCUACGUAAUGUGAAUUGCAGAAUUCAGUGAAUCAUCGAGUCUUUGAACGCACAUUGCGCCCCCUGGUAUUCCGGGGGGCAUGCCUGUCCGAGCGUCAUUGCUGCCCUCAAGCACGGCUUGUGUGUUGGGCCUCCGUCCUCCUCCCGGGGGACGGGCCCGAAAGGCAGCGGCGGCACCGCGUCCGGUCCUCGAGCGUAUGGGGCUUCGUCACCCGCUCUUGUAGGCCCGGCCGGCGCUUGCCGACACAUCAAUCUUUUUUCCAGGUUGACCUCGGAUCAGGUAGGGAUACCCGCUGAACUUAAGCAUAUCAAUAAGCGGAGGA
RNAcentral lists this unclassified non-coding RNA (345 nucleotides) under soil metagenome. RNAcentral describes it as "partial contains 5.8S ribosomal RNA, internal transcribed spacer 2, and large subunit ribosomal RNA". The stretch from base 1 to 120 matches the Rfam family "5.8S ribosomal RNA", at positions 35 to 154 of the family's 154-position model. The record is from RNAcentral.